GUUCCUCCCCAAUUUCCUGUGGGUCUCCCCACAGCCCCCCUCCCACCUGCCGCAUUCUCUUUUCAGACACAGGACGGAUGCCCAGAACCCUCCGUCUCAGAGAUGCUGCAACUGCUGCUGCCCCCACUGUGGGCAGGUAAUAUAUUGGCCUGCCCUAAAAUUCAAAGUGCACAGCAGAGUCUGUCCGCAGAUGCCCAGUCCCCUCCCAGGAAGUGACCAAUGUCCACAGGCUGCUCUGAGCCUUUUGGGUGGCUGUUAGUACAUUCACAAUGAUGUCCAACCAUCACAACUGUCUACUUCCAUCCAUCCAACAUCUUCAUCACCCCAAAGAGAAACCCUGUGCCAUGAAGCAGUCACUCUCCACGCUCCCCUCCCCCAGCCCCUGCAACCGCUACUCUACUUUCUGUUUCUAUGCAUUUGCCUAUUCUGGACGUUUCAUAUAAAUGGAAUUUUACAAAAUGUGGCCUUUCGUGUCUGGUUUCUUUCACUUCACAAAAUGUUUUCAAGGUUGACCCACAUAGAAUGUAUCAGUGAUUUUUUUCUUUUUUGUUUGAGUAAUAUCACAUUGUG
RNAcentral lists this long non-coding RNA (570 nucleotides) under Equus asinus (donkey). Its description in RNAcentral is "lncRNA (ENSEASG00005026879.1)". Lineage: Eukaryota; Metazoa; Chordata; Mammalia; Perissodactyla; Equidae. The record is from RNAcentral.